AACGAACGCUGGCGGCAUGCCUAACACAUGCAAGUCGAACGAGACCUUCGGGUCUAGUGGCGCACGGGUGCGUAACGCGUGGGAACCUGCCCUUAGGUUCGGAAUAACUCCCCGAAAGGGGUGCUAAUACCGGAUAAUGUCUUCGGACAAAAGAUUUAUCGCCUUUGGAUGGGCCCGCGUUGUAUUAGCUAGUUGGUAGGGUAAAAGCCUACCAAGGCGACGCUCCAUAGCUGGUCUGAGAGGAUGAUCAGCCACACUGAGAGUGAGACACGGCGGAGACUAUUACGCGAGGGAGCAGUGGCUAAUAUUGGACAAUGGGCUAGAGGCAGAACCAGCAAUGCUGCGAGAGUGAUGAAGGCCUUAGGGUAGUAAAGCACUUUAAUCCGGGAUUAUAAUGACAGUACCGAGAGAAUAAGCACCGGCUAACUUCGUG
This 433-nucleotide ribosomal RNA is filed under the name uncultured bacterium. Its description in RNAcentral is "partial 16S ribosomal RNA". It matches the Rfam family "Bacterial small subunit ribosomal RNA", at positions 29 to 507 of the family's 1533-position model. The record is from RNAcentral.